This 148-nucleotide non-coding RNA is filed under the name Nomascus leucogenys (northern white-cheeked gibbon). The record is from Rfam by way of RNAcentral. Lineage: Eukaryota; Metazoa; Chordata; Mammalia; Primates; Hylobatidae.
GCUGGGCAUGGUGUUGCAUGCCUGUAAUCCCAGCUACUUGGGAGGCUGAGACAGGAGAAUUGCUUGAACCCAGGAGGCAGAGGUUGCAGUCAGCUGAGAUCAUGCCACUGCACUCCAGCCUGGGCAAUAGAGUGAGAUUCUGUCUCAA